Molecule: ribosomal RNA, 526 nt
Filed under: uncultured Hafnia sp.
Lineage: Bacteria; Pseudomonadati; Pseudomonadota; Gammaproteobacteria; Enterobacterales; Hafniaceae
Description: bacterial SSU rRNA
Rfam family: Bacterial small subunit ribosomal RNA
Source: RNAcentral
GUGCCAGCCGCUGCGGUAAUACGGAGGGUGCAAGCGUUAAUCGGAAUUACUGGGCGUAAAGCGCACGCAGGCGGUUGAUUAAGUUAGAUGUGAAAUCCCCGGGCUUAACCUGGGAACUGCAUUUAAAACUGGUCAGCUAGAGUCUUGUAGAGGGGGGGUAGAAUUCCACGUGUAGCGGUGAAAUGCGUAGAGAUGUGGAGGGAUACCGGUGGCGAAGGCGGCCCCCUGGACAAAGACUGACGCUCAGGUGCGAAAGCGUGGGGAGCAAACAGGAUUAGAUACCCUGGUAGUCCACGCUGUAAACGAUGUCGAUUUGGAGGUUGUGCCCUUGAGGCGUGCUUCCGGAGCUAACGCGUUAAGUCGACCGCCUGGGGAGUACGGCCGCAAGGUUAAACUCAAAUGAAUUGACGGGGCCCGCACAAGCGGUGGAGCAUGUGGUUUAAUUCGAUGCAACGCGAAGACCUUACUACUCUUGACAUCCAGAGAAUUGGCAGAGAUGCCUUAGUGCCUUCGGGAACUCUGAGAC